Oncorhynchus kisutch (coho salmon) is the source of this 353-nucleotide long non-coding RNA. RefSeq lists it as uncharacterized. The record is from RefSeq and is a predicted model, not a curated record. The transcript is spliced from 3 exons. NCBI's taxonomy places the organism in Eukaryota, Metazoa, Chordata, Actinopteri, Salmoniformes, Salmonidae.
GGCCAUUCUAACAAGGAUAAAAAACAGAUCGAACUACGAUAGAGACGUGGAGGUUUGGACUACGAUAGAGACGUGGAGGUUUGGACUGAUAGAGACGUGGAGGUUUGGACUGAUAGAGACGUGGAGGUUUGGACUACGAUAGAGACGUGGAGGUUUGGACUACGAUAGAGACGUGGCGGUUUGGACUACGAUAGAGACGUGGCGGUUUGGACUACGAUAGAGACGUGGAGGUUUGGACUACGAUAGAGACGUGGAGGUUUGGACUACGAUAGAGACGUGGAGGUUUGGACAACGAUAGAGACGUGGAGGUUUGGACAACGAUAGAGACGUGGAGGUUUGGACAACGAUAGAGA